GACCUCCCAGGAUCGUAUCUGGAAAAUAGCUCGUAUUCUGCCAGCUUUGGAGACAACAGGGAAACAAGCCCAUCAGAUCCAUUCCAUUCCCCGUUUUCUCAGUAGCUGGUGCUUGGAAGAGACUCUGCGACAGUG
This 135-nucleotide small nucleolar RNA is filed under the name Echinops telfairi (small Madagascar hedgehog). The record is from RNAcentral. Lineage: Eukaryota; Metazoa; Chordata; Mammalia; Afrosoricida; Tenrecidae.